Molecule: transfer RNA, 88 nt
Filed under: Chloroflexota bacterium
Lineage: Bacteria; Bacillati; Chloroflexota
Also listed under: 1 other name
Description: tRNA-Ser
Rfam family: tRNA
About the family: Transfer RNA (tRNA) molecules are approximately 80 nucleotides in length. Their secondary structure includes four short double-helical elements and three loops (D, anti-codon, and T loops). Further hydrogen bonds mediate the characteristic L-shaped molecular structure. tRNAs have two regions of fundamental functional importance: the anti-codon, which is responsible for specific mRNA codon recognition, and the 3' end, to which the tRNAs corresponding amino acid is attached (by aminoacyl-tRNA synthetases). tRNAs cope with the degeneracy of the genetic code in two manners: having more than one tRNA (with a specific anti-codon) for a particular amino acid; and 'wobble' base-pairing, i.e. permitting non-standard base-pairing at the 3rd anti-codon position.
Source: RNAcentral
GGAGGGGUGGCUGAGCGGCUUAAGGCACCUGUCUUGAAAACAGGCAUACUGAAAGGUAUCGUGGGUUCGAAUCCCUCCCCCUCCGCCA